This 252-nucleotide ribosomal RNA is filed under the name uncultured Bacteroidales bacterium. Its description in RNAcentral is "partial 16S ribosomal RNA". It matches the Rfam family "Bacterial small subunit ribosomal RNA", at positions 524 to 776 of the family's 1533-position model. The record is from RNAcentral. Lineage: Bacteria; Pseudomonadati; Bacteroidota; Bacteroidia; Bacteroidales.
UACGGAGGAUGCGAGCGUUAUCCGGAUUUAUUGGGUUUAAAGGGUGCGCAGGCGGGCUGUUAAGCCGGCGGUAAAAAUUCAGGGCUCAACCCUGUCGAGCCGUCGGAACUGGCAGUCUUGAGUGGGCGAGAAGUAUGCGGAAUGCGUGGUGUAGCGGUGAAAUGCAUAGAUAUUACACAGAACACCGAUUGCGAAGGCAGCUUGCUAGGCCGGAUCUGACACUGAUGCACGAAAGCGUGGGGAUCGAACAGG